Molecule: long non-coding RNA, 2544 nt
Organism: Astatotilapia calliptera (eastern happy)
Lineage: Eukaryota; Metazoa; Chordata; Actinopteri; Cichliformes; Cichlidae
Source: Ensembl
AGAGAAUGAGAGCGGAGAUUGAGGAAGAAGUGGGGGGACAAAGGGAAAGAAUUAAACCCAUCAAGAUGAUGCCGCAUCCCCUCGUUUCGUGGGAGGGGAAGGUGAAUCCGUAAAAGGCUCUGCCUGUUCCCCAGCCGAUCGAUUGAUGUUGAAGUGUUUACCUCACAAAGGGCUGCAUAAACGGCUCGGCAGCUCGCGCUUUAUGCAGAACAUCGGGUGACUCUUUCGCAGGUCUCCAUUGAUGUUGCUUGUUUCACGCGAGAAGGAAGACGCUAAUCCCCUUGAUGUGCACCAAGCGGAGAGGAGGCACAUCCACACAUGAGACGCACACGUACCCGAGACUCAUCUUUAUGUGCAAGAGUGGAAAAAGAGACGGCUUGAGUCUCCACCAAAUCCCUAAAAGCUGUCAUUGACUUCAAACACUAUGAAUUCUUUACAGUAGAGUGCCUCUGCUGAGCGACAGAGCUGUCUGCCUUUAUUUUUCCAUAGGAUCCUUUUGAUACGGCCUCAGCCGUCCAGAAUCUGUGCCUCAUUGUAUAAGGACCAAGGCUAUUUAAAUUCGCCUGAAAGGAAGCCGGAACAGGGACAGUCACACUGACGCCUCGUCAGACUGAAACUUUUAUGGAAUUCCUGAAGAUGAGAAAACAGAUUUCAGUCAACGUUACAUAUUCACAUGGCAGAAAGAGAAACUGUGACUACACUACGCAUCACUCCACUGAAUGAUCAUUUACCAACUUAAACGGCAAAUUCAUUUUCAUGAAGCAUGUGUAAUUUAUGAGUGGCGUGGGAUUGCGAGCGUCUAUCAGUGUCAGAGUGACACGUGUGGGGCGAUAAUCUAUUCCGUGACCCAAAUUUAUGCGGCGAAAAUCUACAAAAACCGCUAUCCAGCCCUCCCAUCCGAUUUCACAGCGCAUCACUGUCAGCGCGAUAUAUGCUGCGCACGCUUGUGUGUGUGCGCGCGCCUCUGAAGGAGAGGCGCAUGAUAAAAGGAGCGUGUUAUCCAUCUUAUCCAGACGAGAUGUUUUGAAAGGAAUUCUGUUAUUAAUAAAUUCAUGAGAGCCAAAAGAAAAAGGAACAUUCUGCGGCUUUGCAAAAAUUAUUGAAAGAAAAAAAAUGGUGGGGGGGAUGUGCGCUCCUUGUUAGCAUUCUCUUAGACACUAGAUGCGCUAGGAGGUAUGUUCUCAUUGAGAGGCAUAUUAUCUCUGGUCAGCUUUCCUAUCUAUUAUUCACAGCUCUGUGAGAAACACUGGUGGCUAGACGAACAGCAGUCACUUACAAUAUAUCCCGGAGCAACGGCGCCCCUAUUCAUGUGCAAAAGAAACCUUAAUAACCACGGCCGCAGAUAGAGGAGAGGCUGUGAAGUUGGCAAAAGCUUGUGAUUGCUUUGAUUUCCAGGACUUCUGUGGAUUCAACACAAACAAGAUUUAAACCAUAAAAAAGGGCCGAUUUUUCUAAUGUAAUAUUCACUGGCAGGUAAUGUAUGGGUAUUGUGUAGUGGAGAUGUCCAAUAAAAGGGAAUCUUAUUUGUGCUUCUCUCUUUUUUUUGUCAUCUGUUAUAAUCUGCAGCUGACUUUACAGACAACAAACAACUCGUGCAGCUUAGCGCUUUAUUGAAAACCUGCAGGACAAUGAAGGAGAGCGCCAGUCCUACGCGUCCACUGGUGUCCAAGGGAUGAUUGAGGAUUGGUGCUUGAAAUGUUAAUAAAUUGAAGGGGGAAAUUGCCUCGUGUUUAUCUGUAAUAUGAAAAAAACACCUCUGCUGUGAUCCCCCUCGCCGCAUGCUCUAAGCUUCUAAACACACCGAGUGGCAUUUCAAAUGCAAAUUCCCCAUUGUGCGUUAGCUUAUUAGAUAAUAUGUAAACACAAUAUGUGCCAUGCAUGUGGAGGAUGAAAUAUGUGACUCCACACUGUCGAACACAUCAUUUUUUGUGAGACUGAUUGUUAUAUAAUGUAAGCAAGCCUCAAUUUUACAUAUAAGGUUGAGCCAUGUUGGUGUCUACCUUUGAUGAAAAGUUUUUAAAUAAACAGUGUUCCUACAACUGCUAGCUUAUGAGCUUUUCUAAAUCUGGUUGUAUGGAAACACAUUUGCCUUUGAGUGUUGUCUUAGCAGGGAGUGAAUAUUUAACAGACCAAAUAGUCUUUCUUUUUCUUUUUGCUUUUUAGGUACUCGGCUGCUGUCUGUUGCUAUGCAACCGCAUCCUCCAAUCCACCAAAUUGUCAGGUUCAGGGCCAAUUUCCCCUCCUCCCCCCGUUUUUCUCCCUAAAAAAAAAAGAAAUAAAAAAGACUUUGUACAUGAACUGAGGUGUGCACGGUGCAGUACCACCCCUCAGGAGUUCUCAUUUAAAUAAAUUCCAAUAUUUGAGGUCUCCCCAAAUAUUAAAAUUUUCCACAGCUGCCUUUUAUGCAUUUUUUUUCUGCCUCACCUUUGUUCAGCACACAUCCGGUUUAUUCUGCGCUCGCACGCUGGAGCCGCCUGGCAAUUUCUGCUCUUGUUCUCCCCCUUUUUCUGCUGUGUUCUUUUCAUUAAAAAUCAUUCUUCCUCA